Molecule: long non-coding RNA, 1391 nt
Filed under: Zonotrichia albicollis (white-throated sparrow)
Lineage: Eukaryota; Metazoa; Chordata; Aves; Passeriformes; Passerellidae
Description: lncRNA (ENSZALG00000002142.1)
Source: RNAcentral
UCUACCUUGGGAUUGUUCAUUGGAAUUUCGGGUUUUGGGGGCGUUCGUUGGAGUUUUGGGUUUUGGAGUUUCUACCUUGGGAUCGGUCAUUGGAAUUUUGGGUUUUGGAGUUUGGGUUUUGGAGGUUCUACCUUGGGAUUGUUCAUUGAGGUUUUGGGGUUUGGAGUUUCGACCUUGGGAUUGUUCAUUGGAAGUUUGGGUUUUGGAGUUUGGGGGUGUUUGUUGGAAUUUUGGGUUUUGGAGUUUCUACCUUGGGAUCGGUCAUUGGAAUUUUGGGGUUUGGAGUUUGGGGUUUGGAGUUUCUACCUUGGGAUCGUUCACUGGAGUUUCUACUCUGGGAUUGUUCAUUGAGGUUUUGGAGGUUCUACCUUGGGAUCAUUUGAUGGGGUUUUGGGUUUUGCAGUUUCUACUUUGGGAUCGUUCAUUGGGGUUUUGGAGUUUGGGUUUUGGGGGUGUUUGUUGGAGUUUGGGUUUUGGAGUUUCUACGUUGGGAUCGUUCGUUGCAGUUUUGGAGUUUGGGUUUUGGGGGUGUUUGUUGGAAUUUUGCGUUUUGGAGUUUCUGCCUUGGGAUUGCUCAUUGGAACUUUGGGUUUUGGAGUUUCUACCUUGGGACCGUUCGUUGGAAAUUUGGGGUUUGGAGUUUGGGUUUUGGGGGUGUUUUUUUGAAUUUUGGGUUUUGGAGUUUCUACGUUGGGAUCAUUCGUUGGAAUUUUGGGUUUUGCAGUUUCUACCUUGGGAUCGUUCGUUGGGGUUUUGGAGUUUGGGGGCGUUCGUUGGAAGUUUGUGUUUUGGAGUUUGGGUUUUGGGGGUGUUUGUUGGAAUUUUGGGUUUUGGAGUUUCUACCUUGGGAUUGUUCAUUGGAAUUUUGGGUUUUGGAGUCUGGGGGUGUUUGUUGGAGUUUUGGGUUUUGGAGUUUCUACCUUGGGAUCAUUGGAGUUUCUACCUUGGGAUCGUUCGUUGGGGUUUUGGAGUUUGGGUUUUGGGGGCGUUCGUUGCAGUUUUGGUGGCGUUUGUUGGAAUUUUGGGUUUUGGAGUUUCUACUCUGGGAUUGUUCGUUGGAAGUUUGGGUUUUGGAGUUUGGGUUUUGGGGGCGUUCGUUGGAGUUUUGGGUGUUGGAGUUUCUACCUUGGGAUUGUUUGAUGGGGUUUUGGGGUUUGGGUUUUGGGGGCGUUUGUGGGAAUUUUGGGUUUGGGAGUUUCUACAUUGGGAUCGUUCACUGGAGUUUCUACCUUGGGAAUGUUCAUUAGAAUUUUGGGUUUUGGGGGCGUUCGUUGGAAUUUUGGGGUUUGGAGUUUCUACCUUGGGAUCAUUCAUUGGGGUUUUGGAGUUUGGGUUUUGGGGGCGUUCGUUGGAAUUUUGGGUUUUGGAGUUUGGGUUUUGGGGGCGUUCGU